Molecule: small nuclear RNA, 198 nt
Filed under: Acanthochromis polyacanthus (spiny chromis)
Lineage: Eukaryota; Metazoa; Chordata; Actinopteri; Pomacentridae
Description: U2 spliceosomal RNA (ENSAPOG00000023848.1)
Rfam family: U2 spliceosomal RNA
About the family: U2 is a small nuclear RNA (snRNA) component of the spliceosome (involved in pre-mRNA splicing). Complementary binding between U2 snRNA (in an area lying towards the 5' end but 3' to hairpin I) and the branchpoint sequence (BPS) of the intron results the bulging out of an unpaired adenosine, on the BPS, which initiates a nucleophilic attack at the intronic 5' splice site, thus starting the first of two transesterification reactions that mediate splicing.
Source: Rfam by way of RNAcentral
AUAAGUUCUGUGGGAUGAUUCCUUAAAUAAAAUAAAAGAAAAAAAAUCUGUUCUUAUCAGUUAAUAUCUGAUAUGUCCUCCAUGUGAGGACUACAUAUUAAACGCAUUUUUAGCACUGGGAGCUGAACGAGAGGCUUGCUCCUUUCACUCCACGCAUCGACCCGGCAUUGCAGUGCCGCCGGGAACGGUGCACCCUNG